CUUCAGGAUCGCUAGGGUUCCGGUCGUGCGGCGUGUGCCGCGCGAUGCCUGGUCCGAGAGCAAUCCGGUCUUGCCUUCGCCUCGACGAGAGGAAACGGCGAGGCUCCACGGAGGGAUAAAAGCCCGGGAGGU
RNAcentral lists this small RNA (132 nucleotides) under Burkholderia cenocepacia. Its description in RNAcentral is "Guanidine-I sequence". It matches the Rfam family "Guanidine-I riboswitch aptamer". Rfam says of the family: This family represents a conserved RNA structure found upstream of the ykkC and yxkD genes in Bacillus subtilis and related genes in other bacteria. RNAcentral also lists the same sequence under 1 other name. Lineage: Bacteria; Pseudomonadati; Pseudomonadota; Betaproteobacteria; Burkholderiales; Burkholderiaceae. The record is from RNAcentral.